RNAcentral lists this ribosomal RNA (200 nucleotides) under uncultured bacterium. Its description in RNAcentral is "partial 16S ribosomal RNA". It matches the Rfam family "Bacterial small subunit ribosomal RNA", at positions 8 to 224 of the family's 1533-position model. The record is from RNAcentral.
AGAGUUUGAUCAUGGCUCAGAAUCAACGCUGGCGCGCGCCUAACACAUGCAAGUCGAACGAGAAAGGGGAGCAAUCCCUGAGUACAGUGGCGUACGGGUGAGUAACACGUGGGUAAUCUGCCCUUUGGUGGGGAAUAACCCUGGGAAACCGGGGCUAAUACCGCAUAAGCCGAGAGGAGAAAGUCGCAAGACGCCGAAGG